CUAAAAGCUGGUCUAGUUCACCUAGUGAGUGUUGAUAUUUUGGGUCUGAGUGA
RNAcentral lists this small nucleolar RNA (53 nucleotides) under Rhinolophus ferrumequinum (greater horseshoe bat). RNAcentral describes it as "Small nucleolar RNA SNORD56 (ENSRFEG00010011561.1)". It matches the Rfam family "Small nucleolar RNA SNORD56". From Rfam's summary of the family: U56 belongs to the C/D class of snoRNA which contain the C (UGAUGA) and D (CUGA) box motifs. Most of the members of the box C/D family function in directing site-specific 2'-O-methylation of substrate RNAs. The record is from Rfam by way of RNAcentral. Lineage: Eukaryota; Metazoa; Chordata; Mammalia; Chiroptera; Rhinolophidae.